Molecule: ribosomal RNA, 266 nt
Filed under: Salmonella enterica subsp. enterica serovar Infantis
Lineage: Bacteria; Pseudomonadati; Pseudomonadota; Gammaproteobacteria; Enterobacterales; Enterobacteriaceae
Also listed under: 5 other names
Description: partial 23S ribosomal RNA
Rfam family: Bacterial large subunit ribosomal RNA
Source: RNAcentral
CCCAGACAGCCAGGAUGUUGGCUUAGAAGCAGCCAUCAUUUAAAGAAAGCGUAAUAGCUCACUGGUCGAGUCGGCCUGCGCGGAAGAUGUAACGGGGCUAAACCAUGCACCGAAGCUGCGGCAGCGACACUCAGGUGUUGUUGGGUAGGGGAGCGUUCUGUAAGCCUGCGAAGGUGGCCUGUGAGGGUUGCUGGAGGUAUCAGAAGUGCGAAUGCUGACAUAAGUAACGAUAAAGCGGGUGAAAAGCCCGCUCGCCGGAAGACCAA